UUAGAUCUAGCCUAUGUUAAGAAAGGUAGAGGUAAACCUAAAAAAAGACUUGGUUAUAAAGCAUUAGAAAUGAUCUUUCUUUAUUAGAUUUUAUUAGAUUUAAAUGUGAAUUUGACUCUUAAUGGGACACAAUGGAGAAGGAUUCAUGUUGUCAUCCUCGCACAGUGGGAUAACGGCUUGAUGAUGAUGUGUUGUAAUCUUUGUUUAGCUUGUGCUUUCUAUAUAGAAGAAAUAAUUGUGAUUGUUUUAUUUAUAACUGAAGAUACAUAAGAGCUCAUUUUUCUUAAUAUUGAUGCAGUGCUUUUUAUGAUCACCUUGCCGUUGUUGUAAACUAAUUGAACUUUGUUUAUCGAUUUAAUUGGAGCUGUGUGACGAGUGGGCAACUACAGUAGUUUAAAUCAUAAUUUACUUGAAGCAUUAUCAUGAAAACUUAUCUUCUUGCUGCAUUUGCCCUUUUACCUUAAUUGAGAGAGUUGUAAAUUAAAAUCUUUACCUCCCUGAAAUUCUAAUUAUUUGACAUGAAAAUGGCACCUUGAUUCAAAACACCAGUUCAAUAUUUCCGAAUUUGUUCUGUUGAAGCCUUUAUUUUUCUUUGAUUUCAGUUGGACUUGGCUUAUAGUUUUGGGUCUUAAUGCUCAAAAAAUUAUUCAUGAAAUUUGUGAUAACUGUAAGGAUAUACAACUGCUUACCUUUGUGGUUGGUGAUAUUGCUAUGAGAUUAUGGUUGCUUUCAUAUAUGUUGUUAUGUUUGCUAUAUGGCGUUAAUCAUCUUCACAUUUUAUUGCUUUGUCUUGACAUACUAUGUUUGCUGCAUUAAAAGACGAAUAUAUCGGUAUAAAUUGUAGGUGCCUUCAGUGAAAUAGCUUGCAAAUUUGCUGACUAUUCUUUGUCGGUAUAACAAAUACUACACUGAUUUCUUGGUAGUUUUGUUUUUGGGUAUUUCUUGUAUUAGUUUGGCUUGGUAACAUCUGACAUUAGUUUAGUUUCAGUUAUUUUCCUUUUCUUUAAGCUUUUCUAUGAAUUGCCUUGCGUUGCUAAAAUAUUCUCUAUAUGUUUCUACAAUGUUAUAUUUUUCUCUUUAUUUUUCUACAAUGUUAUCUUUCAGAGUAAUGCAUUUGGUGAAUGAUCAUUUUUGAUUUGGGACUUAACUAAUUACCUAAAGAACUCUGGUAAUUUGCAGAUAUCCAGUAUUUGGCCUACGUUACAGUCUGCUAAAACAUGUUAGAAGUAAACAUGUCGUGUGUUUAUGUAUUAUUUGAUGAAGUACCACUUUCUGUGUAGACACCAUGGUUUUGAAAAUUCCACUUUAUAUUGUUGAUAUACCUUCUAUUCUUUCUAAACAGAAAUUUUUUAUUUGAUGAGCCAAUUCGUAUGUGCAAAAGAACAUCAAAUAUAUGCCGAGAGACUAAUGUGUUUUUCAGGUGGAAAAUAGGAUUUCAUAGCUACUAUAGUUUAGAAAUCGAAGUAAUUCAUUAUGAUUUCAGAAGGAAUGCAUGUUCUUUCUUGCUCAUGGUGACUCCUAACUUUUUAUAUAGUUACAAAUUCAGUGAAUUGAAAUAUUUUAUGAAUCGUUACUAACAGGAUAAACUCUGCAGUAGUUCUAUCUGGAAGAUUAUUGUGAUUCUUUUGUUUGCCAAAUUUAUGCAAUAUAAGCCUGUAAAAAAAGAGUCAAUAGUGAUUUUACCAGAAUUUGGGGUGCAGCUUGAAACUCAUUAUUGGAGUGGGAAAAUUGCUCGUAGAUUUG
Long non-coding RNA from Dendrobium catenatum, 1743 nucleotides. RefSeq lists it as uncharacterized. Lineage: Eukaryota; Viridiplantae; Streptophyta; Magnoliopsida; Asparagales; Orchidaceae. The transcript has 3 exons. The record is from RefSeq and is a predicted model, not a curated record.